Long non-coding RNA from Brassica oleracea var. oleracea, 339 nucleotides. RefSeq lists it as uncharacterized. The record is from RefSeq and is a predicted model, not a curated record. The transcript has 3 exons. NCBI's taxonomy places the organism in Eukaryota, Viridiplantae, Streptophyta, Magnoliopsida, Brassicales, Brassicaceae.
UCUUCCUCUUUAGAAUCCAACACAGACCACGUUCUUCUUCUUUCUUCACUUUCCCCUUUCUCUUUAAAAUCCUAAUCGACGAUCCUUUCUCGUCCUUGUUCGAAAUCAACUCCGACGAAUCACAUCUCUCUUACUGUGGGAUGUUUCACCGUCGACAUAAGGCUUCGAUUUCGUGUCUCUUCCUUGUUGGAAAUCAUUUGUCUUCAUCUUCUUCAGUCUCGAAAAAUCCGGGUUGCUCUGUAUGUUGGUGGUCUUUAUGUUUGUGGAAAGAUUGGAUGGGAAUCUGUAAUAAAAAUGGGAUUAGACACACAAGAACUGUUCUUCCACAAAAAUUUUAUG